RNAcentral lists this ribosomal RNA (253 nucleotides) under uncultured bacterium. Its description in RNAcentral is "partial 16S ribosomal RNA". It matches the Rfam family "Bacterial small subunit ribosomal RNA", at positions 524 to 776 of the family's 1533-position model. The record is from RNAcentral.
UACGGGGGGGGCAAGCGUUGUUCGGAAUUACUGGGCGUAAAGGGCGCGUAGGCGGCCUGCUAAGUCGGAUGUGAAAUCCCUCGGCUCAACCGAGGAACUGCAUCCGAUACUGGCGGGCUUAAAUCCGGGAGAGGGAUGUGGAAUUCCAGGUGUAGCGGUGAAAUGCGUAGAUAUCUGGAGGAACACCGGUGGCGAAGGCGGCUUUCUGGACGACAACUGACGCUGAGACGCGAAAGCGUGGGGAGCAAACAGG